RNAcentral lists this ribosomal RNA (306 nucleotides) under uncultured bacterium. RNAcentral's name for it is "bacterial SSU rRNA". It matches the Rfam family "Bacterial small subunit ribosomal RNA", at positions 28 to 334 of the family's 1533-position model. The record is from RNAcentral.
GACGAACGCUGGCGGCGUGCCUAACACAUGCAAGUCGAACGGAGUUAAGACUUCGGUUUUAACUUAGUGGCGAACGGGUGAGUAACGCGUGAGAAACCUGCCUUUCAGUGGGGGACAACAGUUGGAAACGACUGCUAAUACCGCAUGAAACUGUAGCACCGCAUGGUGCAUCAGUCAAAGCUUUAUGUGCUGAAAGAUGGUCUCGCGUCUGAUUAGCUAGUUGGUGGGGUAACGGCCCACCAAGGCGACGAUCAGUAGCCGGUCUGAGAGGAUGAACGGCCACAUUGGGACUGAGAUACGGCCCAG